GGACUUUCUGUAAAUCUCCAAUAUAUAUGUAACUAAUCAUGGAAGACCUGUGAGAUUCUAUUUCUGUUAGUGUGUUGCUCCUUCAGAAUUAGCUACAUCACUGAUAUGUCCGUUUGGUUACAGUUUGGAAAUUAACUACGGCAAAGAAACUCAACAUGGGGCCAAGUGGCGAAGCUCACUCCACAGCUUUUGUUUCUGUACGACAGCUGUGAUAUAACCUACCGUAUGAGAAGGUAACAUUAUCAUCCUAAGCAGGACCGGUCGAGAACGCUCCACGAGCCUCUGUUUUGGGUCGGUAGCUGCGAUAUAACCUACCAGAUGAGAAGAUUAGGUUAUCUCCUUGGCAAAUGGUGGGCCUGAUACUUUGGUGCUUGCCUAACAACCAGUGGAAAUGACUAAGGGAGGCUUGCAUGUGGUUUGACCCUGACCGGCUCGCGGAUGGGGACGGUCUCAUGAUGGUACGCAGCCUGAGUUAAACUUAUUCAUCUGUGGAGGGAUUUUCCGGCAUUUACUGGCACCAUCCAGAGCAAGCACAUGCAGAUUAGCGAAGUCUUGCCGACCCCUCUUUCCUUUGCACUUGGAAGGAAGCUGAAGGAAGCCAUUGAUGCGAAGCACCAACACGCAUAACUUAGUCUGCGAGAAGCUUCUCUAGAUGAGCAGCGCAUACUGAGGGGCAGCAGAGUGUGAUGCGGAUCAGGGGAUGCAGUGUGGAGACUGAUUUACUGCCCGAAGUCGGUGUUCUCAUAAUGGCUUCGUGAUUUUAGUCCAACAUCAACAGUCGAAACAAUAAUGUCAGUGGUUUCAUGACAGCUGCCCUACAAUUUCUACAGACAAAUUUGUUACUCCCUCGGAUCCAAAUUUAGUGACUCCACUUUAUCUAGAUUUGAAUGUAUCAAUUUAACAAACAUAUCUAGGUACAUUCGUAUCUAGAUAAAGUGAAAUCAAUUAAUUUGGAUCGAAGGGAGUACGUCAAACUUGAAUUGGCAAUCGGCAGUGCCAACCGCCUA
Lolium perenne is the source of this 1007-nucleotide non-coding RNA. The record is from RefSeq and is a predicted model, not a curated record. Lineage: Eukaryota; Viridiplantae; Streptophyta; Magnoliopsida; Poales; Poaceae.